CACAGACUGUCCCUCCUCUGUAGAUGGUUACUAUUUAUGUCUAUACCAUUAAUAGUUGGAAGGAAAUCUAUAUCAAAGCUUCACUUUUUAGGUCUCCCCUUCUAUGUUCAACUCUACUGUGAUCUGAUGGAUUUCUCUUUGCCACUGAGCUUCAGGACUGGGGAUACUCUUCCUGCCCUCAAAACUGUAGUAUUUUACCUGUCAGCAGUGGUGAUUCAGCUUUCCACACGUGAAUUUAUGCAGGAGGGCUCUGUUCUGAUGUGUGCCCGAGCAGGGACAGCUUCCCACAGCAUCUCCUGAUGUGGCUGGAGGCUCCUGAGCUCACUGCUGUUCAGAUGGUGCCAUCUGGCUCUCAUGAAAUAUAUGAGAAAUGUUAUCCACUAAAAGAGGGGGCUGUGUGCCUUCACCUGUGCUCUUUGGGGAAGAGAUGGUUUCUGCAUCUGGGAAAUGUUGAACAGAAUCUUUGAGUGCUAGUGUUGCCUGAGUAAGAAAUAAUAGGCUGGCAAUUAGGAUUCAGGCCUCAACCAGUGGUUAACUAGAAGAUAUUUUGUUUGGUCAGGUCAGGGCUGAGGUUUAUAAAUAUACACAGCACAUAGAAAUACAUAGUAAUGUGGUUUUGUUAGUUUUAUGGACAGAUAGGAAAUGUCCCUCUCCUUGAUGGUCAGUCAAGCAGGAUGUUUGGGUUAGGAAAGAUGGGAAGAAAAGGUCUCAGUUCUAUGAAAGGAAGACAUAGGGAAAAAAUAGCUGAGGGAAGUUCCUAAAAAGACCAUUUUUUCCCCACUCCCCAUUCUUUUCAUCUGAAAAAAUGCUUUACCUGCAACUCAGCAUCCUCCAGGAGGAUCCUGAGGAGCUGAGGGGACUGACAGGGCUUGGGAUGCACCUGCAGAUUCUUCUGGGACACUUUGUUGGCAGCUGA
Molecule: long non-coding RNA, 916 nt
Filed under: Cyanistes caeruleus (blue tit)
Lineage: Eukaryota; Metazoa; Chordata; Aves; Passeriformes; Paridae
Description: lncRNA (ENSCCEG00000020384.1)
Source: RNAcentral